CUGCAACUCGCCUGUAUGAAGUUGGAUCGCUAGUAAUCGUGGAUCAGCAUGCCACGGUGAAUACGUUCCCGGGUCUUGUACACACCGCCCGUCACACCAUGGGAGCUGGUAACACCCGAAGUCAGUAGUCUAACCGCAAGGAGGACGCUGCCGAAGGUGGGAUUAGCGACUGGGGUGAAGUCGUAACAAGGUACC
This 195-nucleotide ribosomal RNA is filed under the name uncultured bacterium. Its description in RNAcentral is "partial 16S ribosomal RNA". It matches the Rfam family "Bacterial small subunit ribosomal RNA", at positions 1305 to 1500 of the family's 1533-position model. The record is from RNAcentral.